UCCUUGCUGGCUCAGAUGAUAAAGGACCUGCCUGCAGUGCAGGAGACCUGGGUUCAAUCCCUGGGUCAGGAA
Molecule: non-coding RNA, 72 nt
Organism: Bos taurus (domestic cattle)
Lineage: Eukaryota; Metazoa; Chordata; Mammalia; Artiodactyla; Bovidae
Source: Rfam